Molecule: ribosomal RNA, 397 nt
Filed under: uncultured bacterium
Lineage: Bacteria
Description: partial 16S ribosomal RNA
Rfam family: Bacterial small subunit ribosomal RNA
Source: RNAcentral
AUACGUAGGGGGCGAGCGUUGUCCGGAAUGAUUGGGCGUAAAGGGCGCGUAGGCGGCCCGGUAAGUCUGGAGUGAAAGUCCUGCUUUUAAGGUGGGAAUUGCUUUGGAUACUGUCGGGCUUGAGUGCAGGAGAGGUAAGUGGAAUUCCCAGUGUAGCGGUGAAAUGCGUAGAGAUUGGGAGGAACACCAGUGGCGAAGGCGACUUACUGGACUGUAACUGACGCUGAGGCGCGAAAGUGUGGGGAGCAAACAGGAUUAGAUACCCUGGUAGUCCACACUGUAAACGAUGAAUGCUAGGUGUAGGGGGUAUCGACCCCUUCUGUGCCGCAGUUAACACAAUAAGCAUUCCGCCUGGGGAGUACGGUCGCAAGGUUGAAACUCAAAUGAAUUGACGGGG